GACGAACGCUGGCGGCGUGCUUAACACAUGCAAGUCGAACGGAAAGGCCCCUUUGGGGGUACUCGAGUGGCGAACGGGUGAGUAACACGUGAGUAACCUGCCCUUGACUUCGGGAUAACUUCAGGAAACUGGGGCUAAUACCGGAUAGGAAUCCUUGCUGCAUGGUGGGGGUUGGAAAGCUUCGGCGGUUUUGGAUGGACUCGCGGCUUAUCAGCUUGUUGGUGGGGUAGUGGCUUACCAAGGCUUUGACGGGUAGCCGUCCUGAGAGGGCGACCGGCCACAUUGGGACUGAGAUACGGCCCAGACUCCUACGGGAGGCAGCAGUGGGGAAUAUUGCACAAUGGGCGGAAGCCUGAUGCAGCAACGCCGCGUGCGGGAUGACGGCCUUCGGGUUGUAAACCGCUUUCAGCAGGGGCGAAGCUUGUGGUGACGGUACCUGCAGAAGAAGCACCGGCUAACUACGUG
This 465-nucleotide ribosomal RNA is filed under the name uncultured bacterium. RNAcentral's name for it is "partial 16S ribosomal RNA". It matches the Rfam family "Bacterial small subunit ribosomal RNA", at positions 28 to 507 of the family's 1533-position model. The record is from RNAcentral.